Pelobates cultripes (western spadefoot toad) is the source of this 202-nucleotide non-coding RNA. The record is from the annotation of a GenBank genome assembly. NCBI's taxonomy places the organism in Eukaryota, Metazoa, Chordata, Amphibia, Anura, Pelobatidae.
AUUUACCUAAAUAAAGUUUUCCCUAAACCUUACCACACUGGCAUCAACAUCACAUUAUUGGCAGCACUGUUGCAACACCAUCCCUCACAGCAUUUGGUUAAAUUUAUCAUUGAAAGUCUGUAUGAGGGGUUACACACGGGUUUAGUACACUUGCCAAACGAUACACUAGAAUGCAACAAUUUGCAAACCACUUUAAAUGACU